This 108-nucleotide ribosomal RNA is filed under the name Amphilophus citrinellus (Midas cichlid). Lineage: Eukaryota; Metazoa; Chordata; Actinopteri; Cichliformes; Cichlidae. The record is from RNAcentral.
UCUUAAGGUUACAUGCGCUGAGCAUGCCUGAUCUCGGAAGCUAUGCAGAGUUGGGCCUUUUUAGUACUUGGAUGAGCGGCUGCCUGGGAAUACCAGAUGCUGUAAGCA